Molecule: unclassified non-coding RNA, 361 nt
Filed under: uncultured fungus
Lineage: Eukaryota; Fungi
Description: sequence contains ITS1
Rfam family: 5.8S ribosomal RNA (bases 1-100)
Source: RNAcentral
AAAGUGCGAUAUCUAGUGUGAAUUGCAGGCCUGAGAUUCAUCGACAACUCGAAUGCAUAGCGCCUGUGAGUCACUCACAGGCUUGUUCGAUUGAGUGCUGCUUAUUUACCCAUCAUUCACUCGAUUACUCACGAGUAAAUCAAGUGUAAUGCCAGCUUUGACCAAAGCAAACGAGAGGUGUUUUACUCGCUUCAUACACGGUAAACUCAUCGUCACAGACAGUUGAACUGUCGAUGAAACUGUGAAUUUGAGUGGGUACGAAGCACCCAAAAUUGUUUACUCGAGCUUACACGCUUCUUCAAGCGCUGUUUCUCGAUCAAAAUGCAGCCUCAAGUCGAGCAAGACAACCCACUGAACUUAA